Molecule: long non-coding RNA, 277 nt
Organism: Zea mays
Lineage: Eukaryota; Viridiplantae; Streptophyta; Magnoliopsida; Poales; Poaceae
Exons: 3
Source: RefSeq, a predicted model, not a curated record
AGGCAAGGUCCUCCACCCAACUGUGUAGUUCCUGUGGAGGCAAGGCCGGCGAAAUCCUCGUGGCCGAGCAGUGUCACAUCAUGCUACUGCAGAAGGCCAUGGCAAGGCCUCCUACAUCCUCUGGCGGCUGUCUCUCCGCCCACUGAGCCAUGCCACACUGCUGCUCCAAGCAAAGGGAGGCAAGGCAACCAGAGUGCUGCAUAUUGCUUGGUGGUCAGCAGUUACACUGCCUCAACUAUAACCUCGCUGACGGAGAGUACGUCCUCGUGCCGGAGCA